UUACUAUGUAUCUCAACACUUUCAUCAUUACAUAUGAUUACACAUGUAUUUUUUCAAUUUUAUUACACACACACACAUAUUUAAAAUGAACAUAUAUUAAACAAGUUCGAGAAGCCCACUUAAUGAGCGCGAUUUAAGUUCCCGGUUUCUAAUCGUAAUUUAAACAAUAAUUCCAUAAACAAUUGUUGAAUGAAAUUGGUAACCUAUAUAGUACGAGUAUACUGUUCUGGUGUGU
Cinara cedri is the source of this 235-nucleotide non-coding RNA. The record is from the annotation of a GenBank genome assembly. NCBI's taxonomy places the organism in Eukaryota, Metazoa, Arthropoda, Insecta, Hemiptera, Aphididae.